UCAAACUUCCGGUCUUCGAAAUAAAAGCCAGGGUGACGUACUUGCGGAUUACAUUUCCUCAACUUGCUCCAUGUCGUUAAAACACAUCAUCCAAGCGCGUCUUCAACUCGAGAGUCAAAAGAGUGAACGAGAGUCCUCCAGAAGAUCAACACUAAAGUCAGGCAGCCAGAUCCAACUCUAGAGUUUACACUGAAGAGGACGUUGUGAACGUUUAUAUUCAAGCCUGGGUCAAUUUAGACAUGUACCUUGGGUCACCAGGAUUGAGGCUCACAGGAAGAGUCUCGGCCCAGAGUGGACCCUUGGGUGAGUGAGCAGGAUGAAAGAAACCCAGGAGCCAGCUGGUCAAGCAACAGAGCUCUGUGGUCUUUACUGUGGGGUGAUGCUCACCCUCCUCAGGACCCCCAGCUAACUGCAGGACAGCCCACAUCUCCAUGAGUCCGGCAUUUCGGGGCAUUACUUCAGCCAGCUUAAGCCAUCUUAAGACACCAAAUUGCACUGUAGCCGAACAAUGAUCUAGGGUUAUUUGUCUCAGCGGCUGUUGUUUGGUUCCUUUAACUUAGUCUUCCGUCAGUUUGGGGUGAGGGAGUCAGGAAAUCACGGGGGUAUUUAACAAGGCUUGUGUAAUUGAUUGUGGCAGUUCCUGCCAGCAAACAGCAGGUCCUCGGCCCCUUUCACUGAGCCCAGCAGAGGGCCCGCACUGAUGUGGAUAAGGGAAUUAUCUCUACUCUGGUGACUCGAACUGGAGGACACUGGAAAUUCAAUUAAACCAAUCUAUGUUUUCAGGAUCCAGAGCAGCCUGACUGGGCCAAAGAUUUCUUAAAGGUGC
Molecule: long non-coding RNA, 826 nt
Organism: Notolabrus celidotus (New Zealand spotty)
Lineage: Eukaryota; Metazoa; Chordata; Actinopteri; Labriformes; Labridae
Exons: 3
Source: RefSeq, a predicted model, not a curated record